This is an RNA transcript of Hylaeus volcanicus, 8009 nucleotides long. It is a transcript of the gene named serine/threonine-protein kinase NLK, with no coding region annotated. Lineage: Eukaryota; Metazoa; Arthropoda; Insecta; Hymenoptera; Colletidae. The transcript is spliced from 12 exons. The record is from RefSeq and is a predicted model, not a curated record.
AGUGUUCCCUGGGAAAGGUGAAAAUAGUGAGGAAAAAUAGAAACGGGAAGCAGGAGCGCGGAGACGAGGCGUGUCCCAGGUUCCCUGAAACAGCGGGGGCCUUGGCGGUGGCGGUGGCGGUGAAUCAGGAAAGGGUUGAGGUUGAGGAGGGUGGCCCGUAGGACGAGAGGAGAGCUUUGAUGGCAGUAGUUGGGCCCAGCCGGCACUCGCGGGUGUCCAUGAGCGUGUCUAUGUCGCUGAUGCAGGGGGGUGGGGCGGGGGCGACGGGGGGCGGCGGGACAACGGGGGCCCACCCGGGGCAAGCGGUCCUCGCUGCGGCGGCCGCGGCAGCGGCUGCGGCCCAAGCACCCCCCACCUACUACCACCCCGCCGCUCCUGCGCCCCCGCCACCGCCGCCGGCCCAGGAUCCCGUUCAGCCCGACAGACCCAUCGGAUAUGGUGCCUUCGGCGUCGUCUGGGCGGUCACGGAUCCGAGGGACGGUAGGAGAGUGGCUUUGAAAAAACUGCCAAACGUCUUUCAGAGCCUCGUGAGCAGCAAACGAGUCUUCAGGGAGCUGAAAAUGCUCUGCUUCUUCAAACACGAAAACGUCCUCUCGGCCCUGGACAUCCUGCAGCCACCGCACCUGGACUUCUUCCAAGAAAUAUACGUGAUCACGGAGCUGCUACAGAGCGAUCUACACAAGAUCAUCGUCAGUCCGCAGCAUCUCAGCCCCGACCACAUCAAGGUCUUCCUGUACCAGAUACUACGAGGUCUCAAGUACCUUCACUCGGCCAGAAUCCUACACAGGGACAUCAAGCCGGGUAACCUGCUCGUCAACAGCAACUGCGUGCUGAAGAUCUGCGACUUCGGACUGGCCCGUGUGGAGGAGCCCGACCAGAACAAGCACAUGACCCAGGAAGUGGUGACGCAGUAUUAUCGCGCGCCGGAAAUCCUGAUGGGAGCGCGGCACUACACGGCCGCCGUGGACGUCUGGAGCGUUGGGUGCAUUUUCGGCGAGCUCCUGCGUAGGCGGAUCCUCUUCCAGGCGCAGAGUCCUGUGCAACAGCUGGAGCUGAUCACGGAAUUGCUGGGCACACCGACCCUCGAGGACAUGAGGUACGCGUGCGAGGGUGCGAGAUCCCACAUGCUGAGGCGCGCACCGAAGCCACCCUCGCUGACGGCCCUCUACACCCUCAGCAGCCAGGCGACGCACGAGGCCGUCCAUUUGCUCUGCCAGAUGCUAGUCUUCGAUCCCGACAAGAGGAUCACCGUGGUGGAUGCUCUGGCGCAUCCUUACCUCGACGAGGGAAGACUCAGAUAUCACUCGUGCAUGUGCACGUGCUGUUACACGACCAGCGCAGGCAUGAGACAGUACACGGGGGACUUCGAGCCAGCCACGUCUCAUCCCUUCGACGAUCUCUGGGAGCGGAAACUCACCACCGUGCAGCAGGUGAAAGAGGAAAUGCACAAAUUUAUAGCGGAACAGCUGAACACGUCGCGCGUGCCGCUCUGCAUAAAUCCGCAGUCCGCGGCGUUCAAGAGCUUCGCAAGUUAGGGCAAGCCGAUCGCCGACCCAGCGCCCUGCGCCGCGUAUACGUACACGUUACUACUCCAACCAGUACCGAAUCAGCUAUCUACCACUGUCAGCUACUAUCGACUACUACCGCUAUCGUCUACUACUACUACUACCGCUACUACCGCUACUACUACUACCAAUCGUGUUACGUCUCCUCCUGAACGAACCGAACAAACAGAGAGUCAGCUCUAGUCGGCGCGACCUCGCUCGCAGAGCUCCACGGUGGCUCAUCCCUCGGAAUUGCCACCCUCUCCUCACCAAUGGGAAUAAAAAUCUUCUCCGAAAAUCGCGAACUCUCGAUGGAUUUUUGAGACAGAGAAAGAGAGAUGUAAUAACGAGAGACAGACUCACACACAGACACAGAGAAUCGCGCACAACCAACGGAAGAGCGAAAUCGUAACCCGGGAGAAUAAACGAUAGAAAGAGAGUGAGACAGAGGGGGAGAUAAAGAUAGAGCGUAGAAAAAGGAUCCACGAGGAAGGAAGCGAUGAGAAGUUGGGUCUGGGGGUGGGCAAGGAUGAGAAGAAAAGGAAACGCAGGAGAAGAGCCAAGAGAGACAAUAGACUGCCGAGCACUGUAGCCUCAAUUUUCGACUAGCCGAUAUAUACAUAUAUAUAUAUACAUAGACGUGUAUGUAUAUAGAUAUCUCUAUACUAUAUAUAUAUAUAUUAUUAUACAUAACGCUGUAUACAUACGAGGGAGAGAGAGAGACAGAGGGAGCCUAGGAGGAAGGACACACGAGUAGCCAAUUAUCGACGAGGGAGCAGCCGAUCACAAGCGAUCGGUAUCAUUUUUCUUGGGGGUUCGAGAGUGUUCACCGACCGAACCGAAAACGGUGUCGGAUACCGAACCAGGGGGAGACGAAAGCGAGAGGAGAGCGUGUUUAGUCUGUAAGGGAGCGUCGAAGAGACGGGCCAGUCUUAUUUUUUUUUUCUUCCUUUUUUUUGUUUUCUUUUUAGAUUUUUCACGCGCCGGGAGGAAGGCGGCCGCGGACCCCCUCUUUUAGGAAGAACCUGUACCCCCUCUCCUAUUCGAUUUUAACGUGUUUUUGCUGGAUAACAGAAGACGAGGGAAACGUUGAGUGUAGAGCAGAAAAACUUAGAGGUGCAAUUCAUGGACGAUUUGGUAUAUGUGCGAGGUGUGAUUACUUGUAUGUCUUAAACAAGAUGUUAUCAUGUUUUUGUAGAGUCAUCUUCAGGAUCUCCUACAGUUGAAUUUAUCGAAUAAAUUCAUAAGUCUGCUGAUCACUUCAAAACCGAGACCUGCGAUUAAGACUAAAUUGGAUUUUUGAUACCUGAGAAUUACGACGAUAUUUGCAAUGGAAACUCUAUCGAGUUAUUCAAAUAAAAACGUAUGGAAACUUAUAUAUAUAUACUAUGUACAUAGAGUUAAAAGAAAGUGUGUAAAUAUUGAACUACGAUAUAAUCUUUUUUGCUUGAAUAAUAUCGUGAAACUCGUUGUUGAAGAAACGUAGAAGAUGUGUAUGUGAAUCUAUCGGACCUAACACCACUUAAAUUUAAUGAGUAGUGCAAUGUACGUACGAACAUCGUCGCAAUUUUCAAAUAUCAAAUAUCUGUUUUGUUUCCAAUCACAGCCUUUUACUUGAUAGCGAUCAUUUCCAUUCUUUUCAUGUAUUUAUUCAGUAAAUUCGACAACAGUCUUCUUGAAAAAUUUCACCUCUGGGAACUGUACUAUUUUUUCUAUUAACGAAGUCCACUGAAUAAGGGAUCUCUAAACUCAUCGAGCAUCUACAUUUAAUAUUCGAAUGGAUUCUUCACCAUCCAGCAAGAACGGUCCAAAAUAAAAUGGAGACGAGUUAGGUUUUCUUAUAGAUAAACUAUCUACUUUCAAUUGCGCGAAGAGAUCUGGAAACAUUGUCAUGUAAUCGAGGAGUGGUUCACUAUGUUCUCGUAUGCCUUUGUAGUGAAAUGGCAGUUCACAACUAAACUCGCACGCGAAGAAAAGUAGAUACUAGCUUCCUAAGCAAGCGAAAAAAUCGACUAGACCAGAGCGAAAGGUUCCAGGAACCUCUAUAGAAUUGCACUCGACUCCUGAGUCGAUUGUUUCGCUUACGCCUGGACCAAAAUAGCGAACGAGAGGGCACAAGUUGAGCCCCUUUCCUCCCCUCUAGAUUUUAUUGUCGGGAACGUUCUGCAAUCCGAUUCUUCGUCCAAGAAAGAAGCCGACCGGAACAGAAGACAUAAGGACGCGCCUAACUUCGAGGAGCUCCUAACUUCGAGGACAAGUCUUGCCAGGAUCUCCAAGGAGUCGAGGAUCGCGAUCCCUCGAGGACUUUCGCGGUUUUCAACGCCAAUCUUCGCUGCGAGGAUUGGUCGGUUGUAAAGAUCGACCUCGGAGGGAGCCUAGAUUCGAUUCGAGUUCUUCAGGGUUGGCUGAACAGGUUGCUAGCCCUCCUGGCAAGGGUAACAGACGUAACGAUGUCUCUGUUCGAACGAUAACCGCGAAUCGGGGUUGUUGCACCCUCGUAGCCACGUCAAAUGGCCCUGUCGUCGCGACUCGAUGAAAGGUUACGUCUGCGACCCCUGUGAGUCGGUCGACUCGAGCGGAACAACUUAUUCUGCGUCGCGUUUAGUUUGAUUAGCGAACUUCUGUCCUGUUCUGAGUUUUCGGUAGAGAGACGCUCCAAUCGCGGAGACAUCGCGGCGGAAACGUCGACUCGAACAGGACUCGAUCCGCCUUGGAUCGCGAUCGAGCGACUUCUCUAGCUAUCUUUCAGGAAGCUUCUGUCCAGGAAUGCUCAAGAGUCGCGUGGAUCCUCAGAACUCUCGCACGGUCGUAGAUCGCGCGAUUCGUUUCGUUAAUUAAGAAAACUACGCUCGUAUCCUCGAGAGCAUAGGGUCUCCGAGAACCCUCCUCGCGUAAAUAGCUAUUCUACGUUUAUAGUUUGAGUGCGUAAAAGUGCUUCCGUGCGAGAUCCUUGGUUUUGGCUAUCCAGGCCCAACGAUCGCGAACUUUCCUUCCUUCGAUCCUGUUUUGCGUUUGAACGAACGUCCCACGAUCCCGAUGGCGCGUCCUUCCUUCGGGGGACGACGAACCAUCGUCGAGCGACCAUCACCGUUUCAGGUGAACGUUUCCUUUCCCGUUUAUUUCGAUUCAGACGCAACUCCCAGGCCAAACGAAGGACGCACGGGUACCCAUUAGUUACGUUCUGAGUGUGAUUUUAGUUUAAGGAACUUAGGUAGCCAGUAGCUCGCGGGGAUCGCUCAAUGGCCCCCUUAGGUAGCGAUAUUUAGCUGUAGCGGAUACUUUUGAUUUUGUAAAUGAACCGUAAACACAAGGCACACACCCACAGAGGCAGACAUGUGUUCUCUUUUUUACGCAGACUAAUUUCUACUAAGGAUCCCGUUGCGAGGAUCGAUAACAAUGUAAUCGUUUAAGUACUUUUUAGCGUACCGCGUCGAGGCGGAGGGAAAAAGACAGACUUUCGAGGGAAAGAGAGGGGACAGAAUCGAACUGAUUUUUCAAAGGAUCCGUAGAUCAUUUUUUGUUUGUUUGUUCGAUUCGAGGACUCCGAAGGGAGAUCGUCGCGAGGACGAUCGUCUUUUGUGAAUACACCCUGAUAUGUUUAGUAGACGCACACUACCGCUCGGACGCCUCGGGACGAUCGUGUUUUUCAGGAGAAUAUUUUCUUAUUCGAUAAGUCGAUGGUUAGAGUAACGUGCGUUUCAGACAACUUAACCGAGGUUUCAGCUAUCCACAAAUUAAUCAAUGCCGCGACGGUUUCAAAUGCAUUUCGAACGCGUUAAACAAAAUCGUAUCGAUCAUUUUGUUGCCAAGUACCUGGCACCUCGCCCAAUCAUCGAACGUGUACCUAUCGUCUUAGGUAUCGGAAGAUUAAAAUUCCUACCGAGUUUUGUUAGAAAAAAUACACAUCCUCGGGCUUUCGAGCAGCAACGUAGAUUCUUAGCGAUUGUUCGAGCUCGCGGCUCCCUUCGUCGGGGUACCUCUUGUAAUUAACCAUGUAACGAGUCGGUCUCGAGCGAAAGAGCGCUUCUCUCGUCAUUUGUAAAUAGGUCAUCAGCGCGUUCACCGUGUACAUAAACUUUUAGUAGCUCAUGAAUCGAAUCACCGCAAAAGCGCAUACCGCACCACGCCUGGAAUUCCCGUCGCGUCUGAUCGCAGGACACGCCGCGAUCCUUUCCAGCCGGGAACACUUAAUAGGAAAACUUCUCCGAAACCGCUGGAUCGCAUUUUUUUUUUUUUUUCUUUGUCAAACGACGUCAAACGUGAUCGUCCAGCGUCAGACGCCGCGAGAAUCCGACAUGUUCCACCGGGUCCUAGAAACUUGGACGAACGAAGGUGUUCCUUCAGGACUUUCCCAUGAUUUUAAUGAUCUCGUUGCUCCGUUGUAGAAGGAAUCGUUCGAAAAGAACGCAAAGUCGUUGACUCGAGAUUGAACUUGCAUUUGUACUUGGGGACUGUCCAUAGAUUCGUGCGCAAUUUUUGUGAAAAACGAAACGACGUUGUACAACUUUAAUUAUUGAUUGAGUUUUAAUUCAUAGCGGAUCGUAGGGUUUCGUUUUCGCGAUAGCGUAAGGGUCCAGUUUAGCCUUUCGCUAGGAUUCUUGUAUGUUCGAAGGCAUUAGAAAACAUGUUUAUAUUAAUUAACGCGAUAAGUGUAUAGAUGUAGUUGGUAUCGAUCGAUAAUAUUCAACGAAAUUUUUCCUUAACCCAUUAAGUACUACGUUAUUGUUUUUCAAUGUACUAUAUGUUAGAAAUUCAUUUCUUAAUGUUAUGGCUUGUACUAUAAGUAGAACUUUAGCACUUAGAAGUAGGUUUAUACAAACAUUUUUUUAUGUAUAACUCGACGUAGUCUUAAUAACGUAGGACCAGAAAGGUCGAACGAACUUCUGCUGAAUACGAUAUUUUUGUAUUCGUGGUACAUUAUUAAUAAGGUUGCAAAAAGUUACAGUGCACUGUGUUCGAGUCCCAAAUCUACACCCUAAAAAUCACGUGGUAUUCCAAUAAAUUCCAACACCGUUUAAAAAACAAUUGGAAAGUCCUCUGCAUAGGACACCGGUACUUAAUGGGUUUCAAAAACUUGGUCAGAGAAAAUUGUACAGAGUUGAAACAGCUAUAAACAAUUUUCCAACCAUGUUCCGCGAACUCAGAGACACGCCAAAUCAAAUGGACGCACGAUUUUAUGGACCGACCCUACAUUUCGCCACUUUUACACAGUUCGUUUUUCUUUUUAUUCCAUUUUAAAUAAAUCCCCCUCCUCCCACCCACUGUCGAACCUCGCGAAAGGCCUGUCGCGUUUUAUUUUACGUUUCGAAUUACGACGUUUUUAAUCGUUCAGAGCCUCUCGCGAGCGCCCCGAAACUUUCGUCCCAAGCUGGUCGAGUCCGACGAAAAACGAAGCGAAUCAAGCCAGAAAAGAAACUCGUUCGUUGCCCCUUUUCCCCAAAGAUAAGUCCUGGAAGAAGAACUCUUCGAUUCCGGUGCAAGUUUCGCGGCGAUCCGAAUUCGCAGUUUAAUUAAUCCCCCCCGGGAGGAAGCGUGGAGAUGAAAAGAGAGAAGAGAGAUCCUUUUAAAGAAAAAGAGAAAAAAAAACAAACAAAAAACGAAACAGUGCGAAUGCGCGGCGUGCGAGUGUGCGAGGGAAUAAUGUACGUAUGCGUGAAAAUUAAUGUUUCCUAUUAAACGAUGAAAAAAAAAAUGAACACAAACACACACAGUCACACACAGAAUUAAUACGUAGAUAAUUACUUAACGGGAAGAUAUGUAAAUACGUAGCUCACUGUAGCUGGUCAGUUGGGCAUUUAACGAGUACCGUCUCGAGAUACGAGACGAGACGAAAAAGUGGUAAACAAAGCAAAACAAAAAAAAAAAUGAAAAAUCAUAAAUACAGAGUAGGAGGUGAACCUCUCUCUACGUCGCGCUUACACAUUCACAAACACACACACACACACUCAUACACGUGAAAAUACACAAAGGCACACGCGCGGUGUAUACGCAGGCAUUUUGUUCGGAUAUAUACGCGUUUGAAACUUAUCGCGUGCGUCAGCGUUGGUCUCUCUCGACAGAGAGCCUCGAACAAAGACGGAAACAAUACCGGAAGUCUAGGUGAUAUAAUGCAUAUAAGUCGUAAGUUACCUAUAGAUAACGAGUAAUUAAGCGACAAGACAAACAAUCAAACAAAAACAAAAAAAUAAAAAAAACUCCACGUAUACUCCACACUAGCGAAUAUGCCUUCAUUAUGGAAAGUGGCUGGCACGAGAUGCACCGAAACAAAUAAAGUUGCUACGGAUCGAGAGAGAGAGAGAGAGAGUAAACGAAAAAAAGAAUAGGAAAAAAAAAGAGAAACCACGAGAAGAAGAAAGCACGGAGACGACUGCAAACGAUGCUUGUUUUCUUUUUUCCUCUGGUCUCCAGAUUUGGCACAUCGUUUACCGUCACCCUCGCUCUUCCCUCGACCCUUCUUUUCUUUUA